This 422-nucleotide ribosomal RNA is filed under the name uncultured archaeon. Its description in RNAcentral is "partial 16S ribosomal RNA". It matches the Rfam family "Archaeal small subunit ribosomal RNA", at positions 323 to 746 of the family's 1478-position model. The record is from RNAcentral.
CUACGGGCGGCUGCAGGUAGGAAUCUUUUGCAAUGCGCGCAAGCGUGACAAAGCGAGCCAGAGUGCUUUUCAAAUUGAAAAGCUUUUGCCAAAUGUAAAAAGUUUGGCGAAUAAGGACUGGGUAAGACGAGUGCCAGCCGCCGCGGUAAUACUCGCGGUCCAAGUCGCAGCCAUAUUUAUUGGGUCUAAAACAUCCGUAGCUUGCUGAAUAAGUUCCUUGUGAAAUCUUGUAUCUCAAGUACAAGGCGUGCGGGGAAUACUGUUUAGCUAGAGACUGGAAGACGUAAGAAGUACGUUCAAAGUAUCGGUAAAAUGAGUUAAUCUUGGACGGACUCACAACAGCGAAGGCAUCUUACGAGGACAGUUCUGACAGUAAAGGAUGAAGGCUAGGGGCGCAAAACGGAUUAGAUACCCGUGUAGUC